This 446-nucleotide ribosomal RNA is filed under the name uncultured bacterium. Its description in RNAcentral is "partial 16S ribosomal RNA". It matches the Rfam family "Bacterial small subunit ribosomal RNA", at positions 338 to 795 of the family's 1533-position model. The record is from RNAcentral.
CCUACGGGAGGCAGCAGUAGGGAAUUUUCGGCAAUGGGGGGAACCCUGACCGAGCAACGCCGCGUGAACGAAGAAGUUAUUCGUAAUGUAAAGUUCUUUUAACAGGGAAGAACGAGAAAUUUAACAGUACCUGAAGACUAAGCUCCGGCUAACUACGUACCAGCAGCCGCGGUACUACGUAGGGAGCGAGCGUUUUACGGAAUUAUUGGGCGUAAAGGGAGCGUAGAUGGCAUAGUAAGUCUUUGGUAAAAAUGCUGGGCUCAACCCAGUAGGGCAAAAGAUACUGCAAAUCUAGAGUAUGACAGAGGCAAGUGGAACUACAUGUGGAGCGGUAAAAUGCGUAAAUAUAUGUAAGAAAACCAGUGGCGAAGGCGGCUUGCUGGGUGGAUACUGACAUUGAGGCACGAAAGCGUGGGGAGCAAACAGGAUUAGAUACCCGGGUAGUC